Pelobates cultripes (western spadefoot toad) is the source of this 357-nucleotide non-coding RNA. NCBI's taxonomy places the organism in Eukaryota, Metazoa, Chordata, Amphibia, Anura, Pelobatidae. The record is from the annotation of a GenBank genome assembly.
UCUGGAUUAAUAACUGAUACUCUAGUAGUUUGACCAAGUGUAGACGGUAUUAGACAUGGGGAGUAUGUGACACAGUUAUCCAUAAUAUGACACAAUGUGAAUAAGACUUGAUACACAAAUCAAAGGUGUAGGCUACACGUUCUGCCAUUUGUAGCAUUUAAAAGCCCAAUCCUGAUGGUAGAUUAUUGCAAUGACUAUAUAGAUUUACAAUAUAUUAAUGGGGUUUAUCUGAAGGCUAGAAGUGUUUUCGUGACAUCAUUUUGCAGAGCCAACUAACAAGGGGUUUCGACUUGUAUUUGACUAUGUGAAACCUCUUGCAAUCAGUUUCACUGCCCCCUCCCCUCCAGUGAAUCCCUG